This is a non-coding RNA of Camelina sativa (false flax), 310 nucleotides long. The record is from RefSeq and is a predicted model, not a curated record. NCBI's taxonomy places the organism in Eukaryota, Viridiplantae, Streptophyta, Magnoliopsida, Brassicales, Brassicaceae.
GAAUACCAUUCAAGCAGAGAAAUUAGCAAGCUUAGUUCAGAUGUUUGAAGAAUUGCAGUUUCAUGAGUCCUUAGCUACACAGAAUGCGACUCAUCCAAUUGCGGAUCCGUGAUCUAGAGAAGAACAAGGGAGACUAGAACCAAAUAAUGAUAGUAAAAGGUUGUCUCUCUUUCUCUACAUCUUUUGCAUAAAAAAACUCAUAACAGUUAACUAUUUUUUGGAAUGAAGUAAGUAGAGAAUGACAAUAUACCAAAUGCCUAGAGGUAAGAGGAAAGGAUCAUUGGUAUAUUGUCAAUUCUCAUUCUCUCUA